CCUACGGGUGGCUGCAGUGGGGAAUAUUGGACAAUGGGGGCAACCCUGAUCCAGCCAUGCCGCGUGUGUGAAGAAGGCCCUCGGGUUGUAAAGCACUUUCAGUGAGGAAGAACGCCUGGUGGUUAAUACCCAUCAGGAAAGACAUCACUCACAGAAGAAGCACCGGCUAACUCCGUGCCAGCAGCCGCGGUAAUACGGAGGGUGCGAGCGUUAAUCGGAAUUACUGGGCGUAAAGCGCGCGUAGGUGGCUUGAUAAGCCGGUUGUGAAAGCCCCGGGCUCAACCUGGGAACGGCAUCCGGAACUGUCAAGCUAGAGUACAGGAGAGGAAGGUAGAAUUCCCGGUGUAGCGGUGAAAUGCGUAGAGAUCGGGAGGAAUACCAGUGGCGAAGGCGGCCUUCUGGACUGACACUGACACUGAGGUGCGAAAGCGUGGGUAGCAAACAGGAUUAGAUACCCGUGUAGUC
Molecule: ribosomal RNA, 465 nt
Filed under: Vreelandella stevensii
Lineage: Bacteria; Pseudomonadati; Pseudomonadota; Gammaproteobacteria; Oceanospirillales; Halomonadaceae
Description: partial 16S ribosomal RNA
Rfam family: Bacterial small subunit ribosomal RNA
Source: RNAcentral